Molecule: non-coding RNA, 455 nt
Organism: Schizosaccharomyces pombe (fission yeast)
Lineage: Eukaryota; Fungi; Ascomycota; Schizosaccharomycetes; Schizosaccharomycetales; Schizosaccharomycetaceae
Source: the annotation of a GenBank genome assembly
ACCAUUUGACUUAGAUAUAAAGUAUUACUGACAGGAAUUUUUCAAUUUACUUGAAAUGUCUUAUACUUGAUUCUCAAAAACGUACUAAUGCACUUUUAAAUGCGAAACCAAUUCAGCGUACAAAACCAACUAUUAGAUUAAGGAAGCACUAAAAUUGAGAAUGGUGAACUAGAAAAAGCUUUGUGAUAUAUAAAAAAUCUAAAAAGUUUCAAGAAUAAAGUACCAAGGGCAGUGCAGCUAUCAUUAAAGCGAAUGGAACAAGUUAAAAAACAAGUUUCUAUUACUACCAACGAGAUGUCAAAUGUCUCUUAAGCUUAUAAUUAAAACAAGAAUACCUAAUUUCGUUUGCCAUUUUACAAAUAGCGUCUUUGGUUUUUGACUCGCUUACCCAUAGCUUAAAAUAAGCUCAGCAGGAAACGAAUUUCUAUAGGUAUAGGAACUAGCAUUGUAUGAAU